UAUUAAAAUUUUCAUCCAUUUCAACUGUUAAAGCUGACAUGGCUAAUAGAAUAACCAAAUAGUUACACAUGACAUGCCACAUGUACCUUAUGCUGACAUAGAGGGACCAACUUUUAGCAGUAAAAAUGGAUGGAGUUUUUAACA
Gossypium arboreum is the source of this 144-nucleotide non-coding RNA. Lineage: Eukaryota; Viridiplantae; Streptophyta; Magnoliopsida; Malvales; Malvaceae. The record is from Rfam.